AAAGGAAAUUUUAGUUAUAUUUAAAAAUUGAAAUGCAAAAACCUUCUAGUUACUUUUUUAGUUAAAUCGUGCCCGGAGACAGAUAUUAUCAGUAAUAUUUACUUCAAUAUAUUAAAUCAUAAUGAUUUUAUUUGUCAUUUGUACUUUCCUAAGCACAAAAUAAGUUAUAAGCCUUUAAGUAUAUUUCAACGCUUCCGAUUAAUAUUUUUGCUGAUGUUUAAAGAAGGAGAAAGCAAAGAAAACACAUUCCUUUCAGAUAGAGUUUAGCAGACACUGUCAUUCAGUUUAAAAAUCAAUGUGUUUAUUCGGUUUACUUACUCUUAUAAAUUCACUGAAAUCACCUUGAGAGGCUCAAGUUCACCUUUCUGGAUUUAAGCCUGUUAAAUAACAGACACCAUCAAGUCGUCCCCGUAAAAGGAUAACUUAGAUGCUCGGCUUUAUAGGGUGUAGUAAAAGUUAGCACACUUCUACCUACAAAGCUACAAAAAAGACCUUAAGACAGCUACAAAGGAAAACAAACAGAGGACAGGAGAGAAAAAAGUUCCGUUUUCACAGCAAAACAAAAUCCCUGCUUGUACAGUAUCCCAGGCAGUCUCCAGAACAGCUGGAUAAAGGCAUACGAAUAAUUUAAACCAACACAAAAUUCAUCAAGUAUGAAGAAAGAAAGAAGGAGAAAAAAAAAAACAACAACUUGAGACUAAAAUGAAAACCUUUUGGCCCACAGCACAGGUUGGGCACAAAAGUGCUGGCUAAGCUAUCUAUUUCACACAUGCAACGACAGAAGGUUCGAUAUUCAUUCGAUCGAUGAGUGAAAAGGCACAAUGGCAAAAUCAGACAGACUUCUUUUCAAAUACAGAUCUCCAAUGUCCCCCUCCAGUCUGCAGCUGCACGGCUGGUGGUGUGGCUCAGACGGAGCAAGGGUUACAUCAAGGCUGCUCUCUGGACCGUGCAAACAGUCUAGACCAAUGACCUGCAGCAUCAUGCCCUUUGAAGAAGAGGCAAGUUCGGUCAUGAUGAAGAAGAAUCGAGGCGUACCCCCUUUUAACAAUAGGGAGCAGCUCGAGGCUGCAAAGAGGUACUGA
Molecule: long non-coding RNA, 1082 nt
Filed under: Mus spicilegus (steppe mouse)
Lineage: Eukaryota; Metazoa; Chordata; Mammalia; Rodentia; Muridae
Description: lncRNA (ENSMSIG00000012247.1)
Source: RNAcentral